AUGGAGUACGUGGCUUCAUUGUGUCCAGCCAGAUAUAGCCCUUCAACUUUACUUUCCCAUUCUCUCUCUCUGAACCGAAUCACACCACCACGCCAUUGCUCCCCUCUCUCUCUCUCUCUCUCUCUAGAACGAAAUCCUCAUCGCCAUCACGCCAGUACUCCGUGAAUCGGAGAAGAUAAGGGACGUUGAGUUUGAGAGAUUUCGGGAAUGGAAACAUCAAAUCGCGAUGAAAAGGUCGCGAUACAUGCAUUGAUGGACUCGCGAUUUUGUUGAUGAAUUUACCAUAGGAUACCAACGGGGCUACCAUGGUUUCUAGGGUUAAUUGCACGAACUUGUUAUGGAAGGAGUUGGUUGCUCAGAACAAGUGCAAUUUAGCAGAUUUGCAAGUCCUGAAAUUGUUGUUUUGUACGCGAUUUAGCCAAAGGAUGUGUAUGGAUGGAAGAAUGUUUUGUUUACAUUACGCCUCCGUGCACUCAUGAGUCUCACGCUUAUUCUCGCACCCACGAUCCAUAUACAUGGGUUAAAUACGUGUCUAGCGAGCCCAUACUUCCCAACCAACCCAAUGAAGGAAUGAGAAAAUCGGAAUGAGACAAAAGAGGGCAUUUAUAUUGCUAAAAGAUUUUGAGUUGAUAAAAGGUGUAAACCUUGACCCAAUACCAUUUGACAUGGACUGAGAUCUUCUCAUCCCCCAAUUUCCAAGAAGAAGAGGGACAAGUUUCUCAAAUACUAUCAGGUAAGCUCCUCUAAUCUAUGCACUUAGAUUAGUCAAAGACUGAGACAAGUGGAGAAGUACCAUGUAACAAUGUUUGGUUAUUCAAUAACUAAUUUACGUGUUUUGUAGCAGCCUAUGUUUCAAGGAGUGCUUCUGGUUUCUGACUUUAUUAUUUGUAUACUUAGAGUCUAGAAGAUCAACAUUGUGUGGGGGGCUCAUCAUUGUGUUCUGAACCCCGUAACCUAAUGAAGUGGGUAGGAGUAUUGUUGGCUAUGAGAAUGUCCAUGAUGAAAUCCAAGCUGACUAAGUGAAACGCCUUCAUAAGAUCAACCUUUAUGGCGCACCGCGGGGAACCUUGAAGCCUAUCAUUCAAACAUUCCAGUUUUGUUGUCUCUAUAUUUUUUGAUAGUUGAUUUCACUUACAUUUACUAGACUCAAAUACUUGUACAAUUCCACAAACAUUCAACAUCGCUCUCCUCAACGGGCAUAAACAACUGACACACUAAGAGCUUUUGCUUUGUCUAAUUAGAAUAAACUCUACCUUUUGCUAUGUCUAAUCCUUUGGCAAUUGUUUAAAAAAUCCUAUAGCCAAAGUCAUGCAUGUAGCUGAAUAACUUGAAACCUUUUUUUUAGUGCAAAAGCUUAUCUAGGCCAUAACUUCUACAACUACCAACUUUUGAUCAUACACUUGAUCAAGCUUAUCCAUAUAACCUUUGCUAUGAUCAACAACAGCCAUAACUUAAAUGAAAUCCAAAACACAUCUAUACAACGGGCAUGAAUGACGUGCUGUGCACGUCGGCAUGCACCUAGUUUAUCAUACAAGCAUCUCUGUCAAGUGAAAUAACAACCUCUUAACAAUGUUGGUCCAAAAUACGGCUCACAUAUAACCAAACUUAACACCCUCUUAACAAUAACCAAAUUUUGACUUUUGGAUGAUAAAAACUAGCAACAUUUUUCAAUAAACAAAAUUUGUGGAUUCCACGCCACGAAAGUUAACUGGUUGCUGAUUGUAUCUCAUGCGUGUUUUAAAUGGCUGCUAAUUGCAUGACUUCAACUCCAAAACGCACAUUCUCUAUCUUCCUUUCUUUUCAAUUUGACAGUUUUUUUUUUCAAUUUGAUAGUUAACCCAAACUAUUUCUCUUUCUUUCCCUAAAAAAGUGUAGCUCGUAUCUUUCGAUCAACUACAAUUCAACCCAUCGUUUUCAGAUUAAAGUACUUUACUCUUCUUUCCCGUUUCUUUUCUGUCAUGAGCUCAAUAGAUAGCUGGCAGUAAUUCUGUUUCAGUUCCAUUUCCAUUCUGUUUCUUCCUUUAUUUCCGUGUAUAAAGAGUGGAAGGUGCGAGGAGAGGAGCAUGCUUUGUAAUGGAAGGUGCGAGGAGGGGGAGAAUAGUGAAAGCGGCGGGUAGGGUUUGAAAAUUUUUAGAGAGAGAUAGAGAUGGAGAGAGAGGAAACUUCAAUUGCCCGUUUUAGGAGUAGGAGUAAAUUAGGAUCCAAAGCACGGGAUAUCACAACGGAGCAUGAUGAGCCCACAUAGGAGGAACCCCUACACACCGGCAAUCACAUGCCGCUAGGACCCAAAGGAAAAAAACACCAAACCGCAAAUAACAAGAAGCUAGCCAAGACACCGAAACCACCACCACCACCACCCCCACACCCCCCCCCCCCCCCCCCCCCCAAAAAAAAAAAAAGAAAAAGAAAAAGAAAAA
Long non-coding RNA from Rhododendron vialii, 2417 nucleotides. RefSeq lists it as uncharacterized. The record is from RefSeq and is a predicted model, not a curated record. The transcript has 6 exons. NCBI's taxonomy places the organism in Eukaryota, Viridiplantae, Streptophyta, Magnoliopsida, Ericales, Ericaceae.